CGAGUGCUGGGAUUAAAGUUGUGUG
RNAcentral lists this non-coding RNA (25 nucleotides) under Cricetulus griseus (Chinese hamster). Lineage: Eukaryota; Metazoa; Chordata; Mammalia; Rodentia; Cricetidae. The record is from RNAcentral.